Molecule: ribosomal RNA, 837 nt
Filed under: uncultured bacterium
Lineage: Bacteria
Description: bacterial SSU rRNA
Rfam family: Bacterial small subunit ribosomal RNA
Source: RNAcentral
AUUGAACGCUGGCGGCAUGCCUUACACAUGCAAGUCGAACGGCAGCACGGGGGCAACCCUGGUGGCGAGUGGCGAACGGGUGAGUAAUAUAUCGGAACGUGCCCUAGAGUGGGGGAUAACUGAGAGAAAUCUUAGCUAAUACCGCAUAACACUUACGAGUCAAAGCAGCAAUGCGCUUGGAGAGGAGUUCGCGGCCGAUUAGUUAGUUGGCGGGGUAAUGGCCCACCAAGACGAUGAUCGGUAUCCGGCCUGAGAGGGCGCACGGACACACUGGAACUGAAACACGGUCCAGACUCCUACGGGAGGCAGCAGUGGGGAAUUUUGCGCAAUGGGGGAAACCCUGACGCAGCAACGCCGCGUGGAGGAUGAAGUAUCUCGGUACGUAAACUCCUUUCGAUGGGGAAGAUAAUGACGGUACCCAUAGAAGAAGCCCCGGCUAACUUCGUGCCAGCAGCCGCGGUAAUACGAGGGGGGUAAGCGUUGUUCGGAUUUAUUGGGCGUAAAGGGUGCGUAGGCGGUUUGGCAAGUCUUGUGUGAAAUCUAUGGGCUCAACCCAUAGCCUGCACGAGAAACUACCGGGCUUGAGUAUUGGAGAGGUGAGUGGAAUUUCCGGUGUAGCGGUGAAAUGCGUAGAUAUCGGAAGGAACACCUGUGGCGAAAGCGGCUCACUGGACAAUAACUGACGCUGAUGCACGAAAGCUAGGGGAGCAAACAGGAUUAGAUACCCUGGUAGUCCUAGCCCUAAACGAUGAUUGCUUGGUGUGGCAGGCACCCAAUCCUGCCGUGCCGAAGCUAACGCGAUAAGCAAUCCGCCUGGGGAGUACGGUCGCAAGACUG